CGAAGCUCGAGAGAAGCAAAACUCGACUUGUCGCAUGCAUGCAUGCAAUCAGAAGCCCCUACCCAGGAAUGCCGCCUCUGGCGCUGGCGCCGGCGCCGGCGUGCAGCGCUGCUCGCAGAAGUUUGUGAGAACAUCAUCGCAGCGGUAGGUGACGACGGGGCCAGAGCCGACCAUGACGCAGUUCUUGCACUCCGGGUGGCACCCGUCCACCGAGACGUCAUCGCACUGGCAGUCCGGCGGCAGCUGCCUGUCACAAAAACCGCAGUUGUCGCAGCACGGCCACGACGAGCCUGGUUUCCACCCGGUGUGGCCGUACAUGUUUAGUAAAAAAUGUCAAGUGUGCAUGCAUACAUCCUUUAACAAGUGAUAUAUAUAUAUAAAAGAAACUAAACGGUGCAUGAAAGGAUUCUGGGUACCUUUGCCGAGCGGCAGAGCAGCGAGGACGCCGAGAAGAGCCAGAGUGACGACGAGUAUCAGCUGAGGCCUCAUCUUUGUUACUGUGUCCCGGCAAGAACAGGCCUGAAUUUAUGCCAAGUUUUUUGCUUGGAUUUCUUUGCUACGUGUAUGUAUAUUCUCGCGGCUAUAUGAUGUGUAUGGUCGAGGCUGGAGGUCUUGUUAUAUAUAGCAUAGCAGGGGAUGGAGGUCCAGCGUGCCUAGAGAUGUCAAUCCCCACACGAUCGAAUAUAUAAAAUUCCACUACUAGCUAGGCGGCGGCAAGUGCCACAACUUUGCACUCCCAUGCGAUGCGACACGGUCUGGAUGAGUUUCCAAGCGCGCGCACGUUCCAUUCGUAUUUUUCUCAUUCCAUCAUGCAAUGCACAUGCCACCUGCGAGGGCGAUGGACGCCACCCGUCGACCUUUCCAAAAUAUUUUGUAAAAUUUUUCAAAUUUCUUGUCACAUCGAAUCUUACGACACAUGUACAAAGCAUUAAAUAUAGAUAAAAUAAUAACUAAUUACAUAGUUUGUCUGUAAUUUGCGAGACGACGAAUCUUUUGAGCCUAGUGAGUCAAUAAUUAGAUAAUAUUUAUUAAAUAUAAACGAAAAUGCUACAAUAACAAUUUUGGCAAAAAUUUUGAGAGUUAACAAGGCCCUGCUUGGUUGACCGAGUGCAGGGAUGACGCAGUGUACAUGUGUCUGGGAUCCUUUCAUAUACAUAUAUAGAGCAUUAAUUAUAGAUAAAAAAUAACUAAAUAUAUAUUUUGUUUAUAAUUUAGGAGACGAAUCUUUUGAGUCUAGGUAGUCAAUGAUUAGAUAAGUGUUUAUUUUGUUAAAAAAUUUGGAAUUAAACAAGGCGCUGGUUGGUUGAUCGAGUGCAUCAGUGCACAUGUGUCUGGAGAUACUUCCUGGAUGUCCUCUCUAUUUGCCUAUUUGCCUAGUCAUUUCAGGUGGGAACGGGAGCCCAGCACGGUCAGCAUGCAUGUGCUCAGUCCUCGCCUUGCCACCUGGAACGAAGGCCUUGUUUAGUUUUCUCCAAAACUCAAAAACUUUUCAAGUUUUCGUGUUAUAUUGAAUUUUACGGCUGCAUUAAAUAUUAACGAAAACAAAAACUAGUUAUACAAUUUAUCUAUAAAUUACGAAACGAAUCUUUUAAGCCUAUUUAGUCUAUGAUUAGACAAUAAUUACCAAAUACAAACAAAAAUGUUACAAUAUUUUAAAUUUUUCCCCCACUCAACUGAACAAGGCCGAGCUGAUUGUUGACCGUGGAGCCAUGGAGCUGGCGUCUCAACAGUACUGUACGAAAUUAGCAGCUAUAUUUUUUUAAGAUAAAGGAUAGAAACUAUCCGGCUUCAUCUACCCAUAGGUAGAAUCAGGCCAAAUUAAUACAACGGGAGAAAAAAAGAAGAUAAAUAACGGAAAAAUUACAUCCCCAACAAGGGCUCAAGUAGUCCUAGGCAACAAACCGUCUUGAUCCAAGAUGUCAACUCCUAUGGAAUACGAUCGCCAGCGUCAAGACAAAGUCGUCGAAACACGUUUGUCACACCUUAAAAAAGAUAGUGAAAACGUUGGACACCGACCACCAUUGACGAUUGGAUGCUUCUUCCAAGGCAACAGCGCAAAGAACUUGGAACAGAGACGGACCUGCCAUCCAAACUCCAAGCAGUUAUACCAAUGAACACCUCCUCCGACAAGAACAGCACGACGGAGAGACGUGGUUCCCGGCCAUGACGAACAACCACUUCGACGACGAGCCAACACGUCGCCGCCGGCCUGGAGAAACCAGGCUAGGUUUUCACCAAGUUGUUGGACGACCACAACCGCUACAGCUCCAGCGACACCUUCAACAAGGUGAGUAGCACCGUCAGUACCACCGUCGCCGGCCCGGCGUAAUGCCAGGUAGGGUUUUCACCCAAACUGCAGCCAGACGAAGAUCGCUGCGUGCCUGGGACUGGCACCCGCCGGAUCUGGGACGCCCAUCGGAUCCCAGUGGACUCAGGGCCCCGAAUCUAGGAGGUGCACCGCCGACUUCCAGGCAGCGCCGCGCAGACGCCCACCCCGGCGCUAGCAGUAGGACCCCACUCGGAGAGAGCGGAUCCAUGUCUCCUAGCACUGGAUCUCGCCAGGCACGGGGACGUCAUCUCUCCACCUCAGGUGCCAUGGAGGCAGAUGGACAGAAAACGAAAAAGACGACGCACGAAACUGCACUACCGCCAGGAUCGACGAGAUCCAUCCCGCACGGAGGAGCUUGCAGAAUUCCUGGAGAACACCUCGCCGCCGCCAUCACAGAGGGUCGCGCGGGCCUCCCGGCGUUCCUCUCCGGCAGCAGCGAGGGGAGGGAAGACGGGGUGGGAGGGUGUGGCGGCUGCUAGGGUUUGGGAAGACGGGGUGGAAGACGAGGAAUAUAACUCUUAUAAAGCAAAACUCUAAUAUCUAUUUCUCUUGACAUCCAAUGCAUCCACCUCAGCAGUUCACUAUUAACUCCACUAUCUAUUUUUCUUAAAAUGCAAAGCGUCCACCUCAGCAGUCUACUAUCAUUCGCUACUAUAAAUUUCUCUUGACAUGCAAAAUGUCCACCACAACAAUCUACUAUCAUUUGCAUUAAAUUUUACUAGCACAAAAAUUAUGACAUCCACAUUAGUGAAACACAUCAUCCACUAUGAAUAUAAUUUCUAUGAUUAUGCUAAUAAAGGAGUUAUAUAUUUAUAUUCCUCCUUCAUGCCCGCGGCAACGCGCGGAGAAUCCUCCUAGUUUUAUAUAUAACCAUGUCAUUGUCACUUCAUUACAGAGUCUCACAUGUAAAUGAUUUUUAUUCUUUUUCUCUCGUUCUUUAUGAGCAGGCCACAAACUAUCUCGUUUUUCAGAGCGAGAUAGGUGUAGAAAUAAGAGAUAGUCUCUUCACUUUUCCAUCUUCUUUCUUUUUCACAUCAGACGAGAUAGGUAUAGAGAUAAGAGAUAGGCUCUUCUCUUUUUCAUCUUCUCGCUUUUUCACAUCAGAAAAGUGCUCACAUGAAUUGUUAUGAGCCAGUUAAUGUGGCACUGUUGGUACACCUGGAGCAGCACCAAUGGAGAGGGCAGCAAAGUGUAGCCUUUAGCUCACAUAGGAGAGCAGAGCUGGUUGGGCGAUUGGUAGCUGUGGGGUUAACUUGAGCUUCAACUUGGUGCAUGGAGAUCUCACAAAUUUUUGUCAUCCAAGGGACAUGGAUAUCAAAAAGGAUUUGCUGAUUGUUCCUAUUUUUCGAAGCAGAUAAAAUUCUACUUUCAUGAAUCUGACAGUCGAGAGUAUUGUGAGAAAAACUUGCACAGUAAGUGUAAAUCUUGCAGAUUUCCAUAUAAUGGACAACUUUACUAGUACUCUUUAACAAACGAGCAGUGUUUUCAGCUCAUAUUAAAUCAGCAUAAGAAUGAACAUAAGCUAAUUUUUUUAUGAAAUAAGCAUAAACAUAAAUCAAAUUUCAGUGAAACGAGCAGCAAGUUGUGGCAAUACAAGUACAACAAAGGUAACCAAGAUAUUGUCAUGACUCGACACGAUACCAGUGCUUUGAGCAUAUAGCAGCUUCAUCACGAAUGGCUCUUUAUUCCAGAAACAGUACUAAUAAUACACUGACGGACGACGUACAAUAGCAAGCAUCGAGCUGAGCGGCGACAUUUAUUCUAUUUCUUCUCUCAGACAAAGCUCGAGAGAAGCAAACUUGACUUGCCAUAUGGAUGCUUGUAGCAGAUUUGCAUCAGAAGCCACCACCCAGGAACGCCGCCUCCGGCGGCGGCGCCGCGUGCAGCGUUCUUGCAGAAGUUUGUGAGGAUGUCAUCGCAGCGGUAGGUAACGACGGGGCCGUGGCCGCUGCCGGGAGGAAUCCCUGCACCAACCUUGACGCAUAUCUUGCACUCCGGGUGGCACCCCUGCACCGAGACAUCCUUGCACUUGCAAUCCCGCGGGAGCCACUAGUACAGAGACAGACUAUACAGGCGGUUGGUAACCUAUUUCUACUGGCGUUUUUCAGCACCGCCUGUGCUAGAGGCCAGUAGAAAUGGGCCAAUUUCAUGGCGGUUCCUUAUGAGCCGCUUGUAGAAAACAUUUCCACAGGCGGCUCUCUUUGGUAACCGUCUGUGGAAUUUUUUUUAUAGAAAAUAUGAAAUCGCGUUUUUAAAAACAGGGAAAAAAGAUUUAAUUUUAGGGAAGGCCUACUGGCUAGUCGACCGCUUCGCAGCCCCCAAGUCGCGCAUUUUUUCACGUAAAAUCGCAUGCUACGCGGCCGCUAGUGGGAUUCGAACCUAACACCUCGCCCUCGCGCGUAACGUCCUCUACCACUCCACAUAUCACUCAGAUGUGUCUAUAUUAGAGUUUUGUUCACCAUAUAUUAUCCUAAACUCAGCAUACAUUGAUUAUUUGAGGCCUUAAACAUAUUCAAAUAGAAAAGUUGUCAACUACAAACUUUGAUAACUUUUCAAGAUCUACAACUUUUAUAUUGGUAGUUUCUCCAUCCGAUGUCAUUUAUAAAAUUUGAAUUUCAAAUUUGAGAAAUUCAAACGUUGUUUUCGACGACAAGAUGAUCUCAAAUGAAAAAAAUUAUCAACUAUAAAAUUUCAUAACUUUUUGAGAUCUACAACUUUCAUUUUGACAGUUUUUUCAAACGAGGUCAUUUAAAAAGCUCAAAAAAUUCAAUUUCAAAUUAUUUUUAUAGGCGAUUUUCUUAAGCAACCGUCUGUAGAAAUAUGAUUUUUAGUGGCGGUUCCUUAGGACAACCGCAUGUAGAAAUACAUGAUUUCUACAUGUGGUUUUCUUAAGCAACUGCCUGUAGAAAUAUAAUUUUUAGUGGCGGUUCCUUAGGAAAACCGCAUGUACAAAUGCAUGAUUUCUACAGGCGGUUUUGUUAGAAAAACCGCAUGUAAAAAUACAUCUUCACAUACGGUUGGUAGUUCUGACACCGCCCUUUUUAUACCACAGGCGCGUGAUAACUAAAACCGCCUGUGAUAUAAAAAGGGGCGUCAGCGUUGUACUAUUUUCUACUAGUGAGCUUCCUGUCACAAACACCACAUAUGUCGCAGCAUGACCACAACGACCCUUGUGUGCCACUACUACGGAACGCUCUAUCACUAUCGGUGACAUCACAGUUAGAAAUGACAGAAUCGACAGUGAUGAGUCUUCACUGUCGGUUCAAAGCUUUGAGAGGCUUCGAAUGAUUGAAAAGGGGAAGAGCCGACAGUGAUGGACAACAUCACUGCCGGUUUGUUACUAGGACCUACAGUGUUGCCUUCUUCAUCUUUCACUGUCGGUCCGACACCUGAGCUAGCAAUGAUAUUGGGAUAUCACUGACGGCUCGUGUCGCCAACUGCCAGUGAUAUCCCCUGACAGCACAAAAAGCCUGCAGGCUUCCUCUGCUUCCGCCUCACUCCCAUCACGAGAACAUAGGAGCUUGCACGUGCCAUUCCCUCCAUUGUUACGGCUGCUCUUCCCCAUGACUCUCUCUUUUGGAUUUUGAAGAAUGGCUUGAUCUUUUUACUUUAAGGUUAGUAAGGGCAUCCACUUCAUCGAUUUUGGUGCUUAAUUAUCUUAGUUUGAAGGCUACAUUGCUUGAUUCUCAUUCUAGUUCUUCCUCCAUCCGAGAGAGCAAGCCAUUGGAUUUUGUGCAAAGCUCCCAAGCAAUUUGUGAGGAAUAUAUACAUCAUCUCCAUCAUCCAUAAAAGCUACAUGUUUUUGUCUAUAUAUCAUGACCUCAUUUGAAAUCUUUGGAAAUUUCAUGGUUUGAUCAAGAUGCAUGAUUGUUAGUAUGUGAUGCUCGAAUUAGUUCAUAUUAUUUAGGAGUAGAGUAGAUUAUUUUACAAUUUUGUUAGGAGUUGACACAUUGUUUGGUGUUCAUGAUCAAGUAUCCAAUUAAUUUUGUUCAUAAUCAAGAUGAUUGACAGUGUUCGGCAAGAAGCUUAGAGUUGUCGAACAAUGGUUGAUAUUCAUAUAUCGGCCAAAGAAAAAGUAGCCAAAUGCAUGCAUCACAUUUAGAGCAAAAGCAGGCGAUGGAGUAAACAACAUUGCUCUCAUCAUUGUUAUGUCUUUCCAAACUCACAUAUAUGCUUUGUUUAAAAACAUAAGAACAUAUGUUAAUAACGAAAUAUGAUCAGUCAUUCAGCAAUAUUUUUCCUCUCAGAAUAAAUUAGUAAAGAGUAAUUUCAUUUAUGACUCUUGUAUUGUCAUGACUCGACACCAUAACACGGUGCUUUGAGCAUAGUGUGCAUCAUUCAUGGCUCUUUAUUCCAGAAACAGUACUAAUACACUGACCACGUACAAGAGCACAAACAAGCAUAUCGAGCAGAGCAGCGACAUUUAUUUUAUUUCUUACAUUAAUUUAUUUUAUUUCUUCUCUCAGACGAAGCUCGAGAGGAAGCAAACUCGAUCGACUUGUCGCAUGCAUGCCAUCAGAAGCCCCUACCCAGGAACGCCGCCUCCGGCGCCGGCGCCGGCGCCGGCGCUGGCGUGCAGCGCUGCUCGCAGAAGUUUGUGAGAACGUCAUCGCAGCGGUAGGUGACGACGGGGCCAGAGCCGACCAUGACGCAGUUCUUGCACUCCGGGUGGCACCCGUCCACCGAGACGUCAUCGCACUGGCAGUCCGGCGGCAGCUGCCUGUCACAAAAACCGCAGUUGUCGCAGCACGGCCACGACGAGCCUGGUUUCCACCCGGUGUGGCCGUACAUGUUUAGUAAAAAAUGUCAAGUGUGCAUGCAUACAUCCUUUAACAAGUGAUAUAUAUAUAUAAAAGAAACUAAACGGUGCAUGAAAGGAUUCUGGGUACCUUUGCCGAGCGGCAGAGCAGCGAGGACGCCGAGAAGAGCCAGAGUGACGACGAGUAUCAGCUGAGGCCUCAUCUUUGUUACUGUGUCCCGGCAAGAACAGGCCUGAAUUUAUGCCAAGUUUUUUGCUUGGAUUUCUUUGCUACGUGUAUGUAUAUUCUCGCGGCUAUAUGAUGUGUAUGGUCGAGGCUGGAGGUCUUGUUAUAUAUAGCAUAGCAGGGGAUGGAGGUCCAGCGUGCCUAGAGAUGUCAAUCCCCACACGAUCGAAUAUAUAAAAUUCCACUACUAGCUAGGCGGCGGCAAGUGCCACAACUUUGCACUCCCAUGCGAUGCGACACGGUCUGGAUGAGUUUCCAAGCGCGCGCACGUUCCAUUCGUAUUUUUCUCAUUCCAUCAUGCAAUGCACAUGCCACCUGCGAGGGCGAUGGACGCCACCCGUCGACCUUUCCAAAAUAUUUUGUAAAAUUUUUCAAAUUUCUUGUCACAUCGAAUCUUACGACACAUGUACAAAGCAUUAAAUAUAGAUAAAAUAAUAACUAAUUACAUAGUUUGUCUGUAAUUUGCGAGACGACGAAUCUUUUGAGCCUAGUGAGUCAAUAAUUAGAUAAUAUUUAUUAAAUAUAAACGAAAAUGCUACAAUAACAAUUUUGGCAAAAAUUUUGAGAGUUAACAAGGCCCUGCUUGGUUGACCGAGUGCAGGGAUGACGCAGUGUACAUGUGUCUGGGAUCCUUUCAUAUACAUAUAUAGAGCAUUAAUUAUAGAUAAAAAAUAACUAAAUAUAUAUUUUGUUUAUAAUUUAGGAGACGAAUCUUUUGAGUCUAGGUAGUCAAUGAUUAGAUAAGUGUUUAUUUUGUUAAAAAAUUUGGAAUUAAACAAGGCGCUGGUUGGUUGAUCGAGUGCAUCAGUGCACAUGUGUCUGGAGAUACUUCCUGGAUGUCCUCUCUAUUUGCCUAUUUGCCUAGUCAUUUCAGGUGGGAACGGGAGCCCAGCACGGUCAGCAUGCAUGUGCUCAGUCCUCGCCUUGCCACCUGGAACGAAGGCCUUGUUUAGUUUUCUCCAAAACUCAAAAACUUUUCAAGUUUUCGUGUUAUAUUGAAUUUUACGGCUGCAUUAAAUAUUAACGAAAACAAAAACUAGUUAUACAAUUUAUCUAUAAAUUACGAAACGAAUCUUUUAAGCCUAUUUAGUCUAUGAUUAGACAAUAAUUACCAAAUACAAACAAAAAUGUUACAAUAUUUUAAAUUUUUCCCCCACUCAACUGAACAAGGCCGAGCUGAUUGUUGACCGUGGAGCCAUGGAGCUGGCGUCUCAACAGUACUGUACGAAAUUAGCAGCUAUAUUUUUUUAAGAUAAAGGAUAGAAACUAUCCGGCUUCAUCUACCCAUAGGUAGAAUCAGGCCAAAUUAAUACAACGGGAGAAAAAAAGAAGAUAAAUAACGGAAAAAUUACAUCCCCAACAAGGGCUCAAGUAGUCCUAGGCAACAAACCGUCUUGAUCCAAGAUGUCAACUCCUAUGGAAUACGAUCGCCAGCGUCAAGACAAAGUCGUCGAAACACGUUUGUCACACCUUAAAAAAGAUAGUGAAAACGUUGGACACCGACCACCAUUGACGAUUGGAUGCUUCUUCCAAGGCAACAGCGCAAAGAACUUGGAACAGAGACGGACCUGCCAUCCAAACUCCAAGCAGUUAUACCAAUGAACACCUCCUCCGACAAGAACAGCACGACGGAGAGACGUGGUUCCCGGCCAUGACGAACAACCACUUCGACGACGAGCCAACACGUCGCCGCCGGCCUGGAGAAACCAGGCUAGGUUUUCACCAAGUUGUUGGACGACCACAACCGCUACAGCUCCAGCGACACCUUCAACAAGGUGAGUAGCACCGUCAGUACCACCGUCGCCGGCCCGGCGUAAUGCCAGGUAGGGUUUUCACCCAAACUGCAGCCAGACGAAGAUCGCUGCGUGCCUGGGACUGGCACCCGCCGGAUCUGGGACGCCCAUCGGAUCCCAGUGGACUCAGGGCCCCGAAUCUAGGAGGUGCACCGCCGACUUCCAGGCAGCGCCGCGCAGACGCCCACCCCGGCGCUAGCAGUAGGACCCCACUCGGAGAGAGCGGAUCCAUGUCUCCUAGCACUGGAUCUCGCCAGGCACGGGGACGUCAUCUCUCCACCUCAGGUGCCAUGGAGGCAGAUGGACAGAAAACGAAAAAGACGACGCACGAAACUGCACUACCGCCAGGAUCGACGAGAUCCAUCCCGCACGGAGGAGCUUGCAGAAUUCCUGGAGAACACCUCGCCGCCGCCAUCACAGAGGGUCGCGCGGGCCUCCCGGCGUUCCUCUCCGGCAGCAGCGAGGGGAGGGAAGACGGGGUGGGAGGGUGUGGCGGCUGCUAGGGUUUGGGAAGACGGGGUGGAAGACGAGGAAUAUAACUCUUAUAAAGCAAAACUCUAAUAUCUAUUUCUCUUGACAUCCAAUGCAUCCACCUCAGCAGUUCACUAUUAACUCCACUAUCUAUUUUUCUUAAAAUGCAAAGCGUCCACCUCAGCAGUCUACUAUCAUUCGCUACUAUAAAUUUCUCUUGACAUGCAAAAUGUCCACCACAACAAUCUACUAUCAUUUGCAUUAAAUUUUACUAGCACAAAAAUUAUGACAUCCACAUUAGUGAAACACAUCAUCCACUAUGAAUAUAAUUUCUAUGAUUAUGCUAAUAAAGGAGUUAUAUAUUUAUAUUCCUCCUUCAUGCCCGCGGCAACGCGCGGAGAAUCCUCCUAGUUUUAUAUAUAACCAUGUCAUUGUCACUUCAUUACAGAGUCUCACAUGUAAAUGAUUUUUAUUCUUUUUCUCUCGUUCUUUAUGAGCAGGCCACAAACUAUCUCGUUUUUCAGAGCGAGAUAGGUGUAGAAAUAAGAGAUAGUCUCUUCACUUUUCCAUCUUCUUUCUUUUUCACAUCAGACGAGAUAGGUAUAGAGAUAAGAGAUAGGCUCUUCUCUUUUUCAUCUUCUCGCUUUUUCACAUCAGAAAAGUGCUCACAUGAAUUGUUAUGAGCCAGUUAAUGUGGCACUGUUGGUACACCUGGAGCAGCACCAAUGGAGAGGGCAGCAAAGUGUAGCCUUUAGCUCACAUAGGAGAGCAGAGCUGGUUGGGCGAUUGGUAGCUGUGGGGUUAACUUGAGCUUCAACUUGGUGCAUGGAGAUCUCACAAAUUUUUGUCAUCCAAGGGACAUGGAUAUCAAAAAGGAUUUGCUGAUUGUUCCUAUUUUUCGAAGCAGAUAAAAUUCUACUUUCAUGAAUCUGACAGUCGAGAGUAUUGUGAGAAAAACUUGCACAGUAAGUGUAAAUCUUGCAGAUUUCCAUAUAAUGGACAACUUUACUAGUACUCUUUAACAAACGAGCAGUGUUUUCAGCUCAUAUUAAAUCAGCAUAAGAAUGAACAUAAGCUAAUUUUUUUAUGAAAUAAGCAUAAACAUAAAUCAAAUUUCAGUGAAACGAGCAGCAAGUUGUGGCAAUACAAGUACAACAAAGGUAACCAAGAUAUUGUCAUGACUCGACACGAUACCAGUGCUUUGAGCAUAUAGCAGCUUCAUCACGAAUGGCUCUUUAUUCCAGAAACAGUACUAAUAAUACACUGACGGACGACGUACAAUAGCAAGCAUCGAGCUGAGCGGCGACAUUUAUUCUAUUUCUUCUCUCAGACAAAGCUCGAGAGAAGCAAACUUGACUUGCCAUAUGGAUGCUUGUAGCAGAUUUGCAUCAGAAGCCACCACCCAGGAACGCCGCCUCCGGCGGCGGCGCCGCGUGCAGCGUUCUUGCAGAAGUUUGUGAGGAUGUCAUCGCAGCGGUAGGUAACGACGGGGCCGUGGCCGCUGCCGGGAGGAAUCCCUGCACCAACCUUGACGCAUAUCUUGCACUCCGGGUGGCACCCCUGCACCGAGACAUCCUUGCACUUGCAAUCCCGCGGGAGCCACUAGUACAGAGACAGACUAUACAGGCGGUUGGUAACCUAUUUCUACUGGCGUUUUUCAGCACCGCCUGUGCUAGAGGCCAGUAGAAAUGGGCCAAUUUCAUGGCGGUUCCUUAUGAGCCGCUUGUAGAAAACAUUUCCACAGGCGGCUCUCUUUGGUAACCGUCUGUGGAAUUUUUUUUAUAGAAAAUAUGAAAUCGCGUUUUUAAAAACAGGGAAAAAAGAUUUAAUUUUAGGGAAGGCCUACUGGCUAGUCGACCGCUUCGCAGCCCCCAAGUCGCGCAUUUUUUCACGUAAAAUCGCAUGCUACGCGGCCGCUAGUGGGAUUCGAACCUAACACCUCGCCCUCGCGCGUAACGUCCUCUACCACUCCACAUAUCACUCAGAUGUGUCUAUAUUAGAGUUUUGUUCACCAUAUAUUAUCCUAAACUCAGCAUACAUUGAUUAUUUGAGGCCUUAAACAUAUUCAAAUAGAAAAGUUGUCAACUACAAACUUUGAUAACUUUUCAAGAUCUACAACUUUUAUAUUGGUAGUUUCUCCAUCCGAUGUCAUUUAUAAAAUUUGAAUUUCAAAUUUGAGAAAUUCAAACGUUGUUUUCGACGACAAGAUGAUCUCAAAUGAAAAAAAUUAUCAACUAUAAAAUUUCAUAACUUUUUGAGAUCUACAACUUUCAUUUUGACAGUUUUUUCAAACGAGGUCAUUUAAAAAGCUCAAAAAAUUCAAUUUCAAAUUAUUUUUAUAGGCGAUUUUCUUAAGCAACCGUCUGUAGAAAUAUGAUUUUUAGUGGCGGUUCCUUAGGACAACCGCAUGUAGAAAUACAUGAUUUCUACAUGUGGUUUUCUUAAGCAACUGCCUGUAGAAAUAUAAUUUUUAGUGGCGGUUCCUUAGGAAAACCGCAUGUACAAAUGCAUGAUUUCUACAGGCGGUUUUGUUAGAAAAACCGCAUGUAAAAAUACAUCUUCACAUACGGUUGGUAGUUCUGACACCGCCCUUUUUAUACCACAGGCGCGUGAUAACUAAAACCGCCUGUGAUAUAAAAAGGGGCGUCAGCGUUGUACUAUUUUCUACUAGUGAGCUUCCUGUCACAAACACCACAUAUGUCGCAGCAUGACCACAACGACCCUUGUGUGCCACUACUACGGAACGCUCUAUCACUAUCGGUGACAUCACAGUUAGAAAUGACAGAAUCGACAGUGAUGAGUCUUCACUGUCGGUUCAAAGCUUUGAGAGGCUUCGAAUGAUUGAAAAGGGGAAGAGCCGACAGUGAUGGACAACAUCACUGCCGGUUUGUUACUAGGACCUACAGUGUUGCCUUCUUCAUCUUUCACUGUCGGUCCGACACCUGAGCUAGCAAUGAUAUUGGGAUAUCACUGACGGCUCGUGUCGCCAACUGCCAGUGAUAUCCCCUGACAGCACAAAAAGCCUGCAGGCUUCCUCUGCUUCCGCCUCACUCCCAUCACGAGAACAUAGGAGCUUGCACGUGCCAUUCCCUCCAUUGUUACGGCUGCUCUUCCCCAUGACUCUCUCUUUUGGAUUUUGAAGAAUGGCUUGAUCUUUUUACUUUAAGGUUAGUAAGGGCAUCCACUUCAUCGAUUUUGGUGCUUAAUUAUCUUAGUUUGAAGGCUACAUUGCUUGAUUCUCAUUCUAGUUCUUCCUCCAUCCGAGAGAGCAAGCCAUUGGAUUUUGUGCAAAGCUCCCAAGCAAUUUGUGAGGAAUAUAUACAUCAUCUCCAUCAUCCAUAAAAGCUACAUGUUUUUGUCUAUAUAUCAUGACCUCAUUUGAAAUCUUUGGAAAUUUCAUGGUUUGAUCAAGAUGCAUGAUUGUUAGUAUGUGAUGCUCGAAUUAGUUCAUAUUAUUUAGGAGUAGAGUAGAUUAUUUUACAAUUUUGUUAGGAGUUGACACAUUGUUUGGUGUUCAUGAUCAAGUAUCCAAUUAAUUUUGUUCAUAAUCAAGAUGAUUGACAGUGUUCGGCAAGAAGCUUAGAGUUGUCGAACAAUGGUUGAUAUUCAUAUAUCGGCCAAAGAAAAAGUAGCCAAAUGCAUGCAUCACAUUUAGAGCAAAAGCAGGCGAUGGAGUAAACAACAUUGCUCUCAUCAUUGUUAUGUCUUUCCAAACUCACAUAUAUGCUUUGUUUAAAAACAUAAGAACAUAUGUUAAUAACGAAAUAUGAUCAGUCAUUCAGCAAUAUUUUUCCUCUCAGAAUAAAUUAGUAAAGAGUAAUUUCAUUUAUGACUCUUGUAUUGUCAUGACUCGACACCAUAACACGGUGCUUUGAGCAUAGUGUGCAUCAUUCAUGGCUCUUUAUUCCAGAAACAGUACUAAUACACUGACCACGUACAAGAGCACAAACAAGCAUAUCGAGCAGAGCAGCGACAUUUAUUUUAUUUCUUACAUUAAUUUAUUUUAUUUCUUCUCUCAGACGAAGCUCGAGAGGAAGCAAACUCGAUCGACUUGUCGCAUGCAUGCCAUCAGAAGCCCCUACCCAGGAACGCCGCCUCCGGCGCCGGCGCCGGCGCCGGCGCUGGCGUGCAGCGCUGCUCGCAGAAGUUUGUGAGAACGUCAUCGCAGCGGUAGGUGACGACGGGGCCAGAGCCGACCAUGACGCAGUUCUUGCACUCCGGGUGGCACCCGUCCACCGAGACGUCAUCGCACUGGCAGUCCGGCGGCAGCUGCCUGUCACAAAAACCGCAGUUGUCGCAGCACGGCCACGACGAGCCUGGUUUCCACCCGGUGUGGCCGUACAUGUUUAGUAAAAAAUGUCAAGUGUGCAUGCAUACAUCCUUUAACAAGUGAUAUAUAUAUAUAAAAGAAACUAAAC
RNAcentral lists this long non-coding RNA (13996 nucleotides) under Sorghum bicolor (sorghum). RNAcentral's name for it is "long non-coding RNA (SBIC_LNC009723)". The record is from RNAcentral. Lineage: Eukaryota; Viridiplantae; Streptophyta; Magnoliopsida; Poales; Poaceae.